GCUUUCGUGGUGUAGUGGUCAGCAUGUUCAACGCGUAACCCAGAUGUCCGUGGUUCGAUUCCCGGCGAAGGCG
This is a non-coding RNA of Stegodyphus mimosarum, 73 nucleotides long. Lineage: Eukaryota; Metazoa; Arthropoda; Arachnida; Araneae; Eresidae. The record is from Rfam.